This is a long non-coding RNA of Amblyraja radiata (thorny skate), 150 nucleotides long. RefSeq lists it as uncharacterized. The transcript is spliced from 3 exons. The record is from RefSeq and is a predicted model, not a curated record. NCBI's taxonomy places the organism in Eukaryota, Metazoa, Chordata, Chondrichthyes, Rajiformes, Rajidae.
AGCCAUGUUACUGAAUAUAUGUCUGUGAGUAGGAACACAAAGCAACAAGAUACAGAGGAAGGUAUUCAUUAUGGAUCCAUCUCCUUCCAGCCUAAAGCAACUGGUGGCAGCAACGAUAAUGCACUGUCCUCCAAUCAAGCAUCAGGCACU